Molecule: ribosomal RNA, 1119 nt
Filed under: Triticum aestivum (bread wheat)
Lineage: Eukaryota; Viridiplantae; Streptophyta; Magnoliopsida; Poales; Poaceae
Description: partial small subunit ribosomal RNA
Source: RNAcentral
AUGCGGGCCACGCGCCACGUCUUCCGGACCGUCCUCCAGUUCCUCGCCGUCGUAGUCGUCGUCGUCCUCGAGGGGCGUGAUCCGAAGCGAGCUCUUGAGCCGGCCGCUGAGCGCCUCCUCCUGCCGGAGCACCUUGGACCAGGUGUCGGACUCCUUGGCGCUCAUCUUGUGCUGCAGCCGCUUGGACUGCCACACGAGCCUGCGCAUCUGGUCGAAGCGCGGGCUCAUGUGCUUGAUCACCGCGCUCAGCAGGGACACCUUCCACGCCUUCUUCAGGUCGUGCGGCUUCCGGUACGGCGGCGCGCCCUGGUGGGCCUGCGUCUCGCCCUGCGUGCCCCACCACAGCUCCUUCCCCGUCGGCCACCACGGCGGCGCCAGGCCGCGCUCCAGCGGGAAGUUGCGCUGCGGCGGCUCGCAGUGCUGGAGGAGCGCCGAGAGCAUGGAGCCCAGCGUGUUGUCCUGGAUGGCCUGGAGGCGAUGCAGGUAGGAGGCCAGGCCCAGCGGGCUGGUGCUACCGUCGGCGGCGGAGCUGCCGGUCAGACUCAGGGCCAUCGGGCCCGUGCGGUCGAAGACUACCUUGUCCUUCCACCAGCCGCGGAGGCUGUCGGAGGAGCCGGACGUGGGCUCGCCGGCCUCGUCGAUGACGCCGUACACGAACCCGCGCGCGUUGCAGGACUGCAUCAUCUUCAUCAUGUGCCGGAGCACGCCGUCCUGCGCGCGCAGCAUCGCCUUCCGCCGGCACCGCGCCUCGGGACCGUCCUCCUCCUGGUCCUCCUGCCGCCCGGCCGGCGCACCGCUCCUGGCGCCGGCGCGGCCCUCGAGCUUCAUGAGGCGCAUCUGGUCCUUCCACAUGCGCUUCUUGAGGUCAGAGAUCUCGACAGAUUCAGAGGAGCCCGGCGGCUCUGUCUCGAAGUCGAUUAUCUCCUCUUGCUGCUCCACGUCCACCUCCAGCGCCUCGAGGCCGAACGCGGCGUUGCCACCGCCAUGCGCGUCCAGACGCUCCAUGGGAAACGGACUCCAACAGUGGGUGCCCUGAUCCAUAGACACGGCACACAUAACAAGUCUGUUUUAUUUCCGAGCUCGGCCACGAGCGGUCUAUCAUUCAUGGUGUGGGAAUGA